This 953-nucleotide long non-coding RNA is filed under the name Anser brachyrhynchus (Pink-footed goose). RNAcentral describes it as "lncRNA (ENSABRG00000014458.1)". The record is from RNAcentral. Lineage: Eukaryota; Metazoa; Chordata; Aves; Anseriformes; Anatidae.
CAGAAUUUUGUCUAACUGUUGGAACCUUGAAAUUGUUUUAAAAUGCACUCUUUUAUAAAACCUUUCCUGUUUACCAUCUGCAGGGUAAUUCAGCAAAAACAGACCAAAAUUAAUUUUUCUUGUAGGCUCAUACCAAGGCAUGUGAAUGGAAGAUUGCAAAGCAUCCUACACUGCCAGAGCAGCUCUUUGAAGAGUUUACCAUUUGAUACAGUUCUUACAAGUGCUGCUGAAGUUGAGCACAAGGCAUCGGAUGGCAAAUCUGGGCCCAUGACCUGGACUGUAAAUUCCACUGGACAGACAGGCACAUCUAGAAUUAUUGCAGCAUCUAUAUCAUUUCUCCAGCCUAACACUUACAGAAUGAGAAGGUAAAUGCACACUGCAGCCUUAAGACACCCUUAAUGAAAAGAUGGAGAAGCCUAUGAGUGUUGGAGUAUUGGACCUGUGUGUUUGCCUAGGACCUAACAGAAAGCACACAGAGGUGCUUGAAGAGAUGGCAAAACUUUGGUGUGCUGAAGAGCCCCCAAGGAAUUUCAAACAUGGUACGACUGAUGAAAGUUUGGAGUCUUCUGGUUUCCUGGCUCCAUCACAGUUAACAUAAUAGUGCCCCUUUGUACCACAGCAGGCAAUAUCCUUUCAUCCUGAAAACAGUAUUUUUGUCAGGCAACACUCGCCUCCUUCCCUAGCAGUCAGGGUAGCUGCGAAGUGCUGCACACUCUGAGCACAAGGUGUUUGUGCAGCUGCUGGUGCCACAGGAAGGCCUGCAAGUGCAGAAAGCCCCAGGGUCUGAAGGCAUAAAAUAUGUUGCACCUGAGUCAGGAGGAAAAAAUAUGAUUUACAGUCCUAAUUUUGACGAGUGGGGCCUCUUCUGCUCUGUUGAGAACGAGCCUCAGAGAAAGCCCUUUUCUGUACUAUUUGAUAAUAAAUUCAUGAACAAAUGUAUGUGUUUCUGAUAA